RNAcentral lists this small RNA (562 nucleotides) under Pan troglodytes (chimpanzee). Its description in RNAcentral is "processed transcript". The record is from RNAcentral. Lineage: Eukaryota; Metazoa; Chordata; Mammalia; Primates; Hominidae.
CAGGGACAGAAGUCCAGAAUAUUCAGCCCAGGCCUGUGAGUCUGACAUCCAGGUGAGCUGCUAAGGAGUAGCCCUGCUGGCAGAGCCCCGGCCGCGCUGGGCCUGAGAGCCAGGCUGGCGCUGUGGAUGUGGCGUUGCUCGUGAAGCCGCAGAUUACCCAGAGCACUCUGGAUUGGAGGCCCGUGCUCCAUGGUCCAAGAUAGCCACUCUACCAGCUACCCAUCCCUCCUCAGCCACCUGACCUCCAUGUACCUGAACGCCCCGGCGCUCGCUCUGCCUGUAGCCAGGACGCAGCUCCCAGGCCCUGGUCUGCGCUCAUUUCAUCCUCUGGCUUCCUCACUGCCCUGUGACUUCCACCUGCUCAACCUACGUACCCUCCAGGCUGAGGAGGACACCCUGCCCUCGGCGGAGACCGCACUCAUCUUACACCGCAAGGGUUUUGACUGCGGCCUGGAGGCCAAGAACUUGGGCUUCAACUGCACCACAAGCCAAGGCAAGGUAGCCCUGGGCAGCCUUUUCCAUGGCCUGGAUGUGGUAUUCCUUCAGCCAACCUCCUUGACGU